UAUUUAGGGCUCCAUAAUGUAGGUAAGGUACCCUAGAAAUGUAGGAUUUUUCAGCCCUUGUAUUUUAGGGCACCUAGACUAGUUUUUGUAUUAGGGGUAGUUUUUGUAAUUUCACAUGCAUUAAGUGAAUAUUUGAUGUGUGUGUUGGAAAAUAAAUUUAAUUGAAUUGGGAGAAGCCUAAUCCAAUUAAAUUUUAGAGGGGGAGGUGAGCAUUUGCUUGCUACACCCCAUUGCAACAUCAUAUAGUCACACUUUGUGCAUGUGCUUCAUGCUUUACACGCCUCA
This 285-nucleotide long non-coding RNA is filed under the name Glycine max (soybean). Its description in RNAcentral is "long non-coding RNA (GMAX_LNC001274)". The record is from RNAcentral. Lineage: Eukaryota; Viridiplantae; Streptophyta; Magnoliopsida; Fabales; Fabaceae.